GAUGAACGCUAGCUACGGGCUUACCCAUGCAAGUCGAGGGGAAACGGCAUUGAGUGCUUGCACUCUUUGGACGUCGACCGGCGCACGGGUGAGUAACGCGUAACCAACCUUCCCAUUACUGUGGGAUAACCUGCCGAAAGGCAGACUAAUACCGCAUAGUCUUCUAUGACGGCUUCAGAUUUGAUGUAAAGAUUUAUCGUGAAUGGAUGGGGAUGCGUCAGAUUAGCUUGUUGGCGGGGUAACGGCCCACCGAGGCCACGAUUAGUUGGGGGUUCUGAGAUUAAGGUCCCCCUUUGUGGAACUGAUAUACGGUUCAAACUCCUUCGGGAGGCAUUAGUGAGGAAUUUUGGUCAAUGGAUGGAAGUCCUGAACCAGCCAAGGAGCGUGUUGGUUGUCGGCCCCUGUUGGGUUGUUCCACUGUUUUUGUUAUGGGGAUAAUGUUUAGGGAAUGUGGUCCCGUGUGUGUUUGUACCCAUACGAGAAAAUGACUGUGUUAUUGUGUCGUUGUUGAUGUUGGCUCGUGUGUGUUGCGCGAAGUGUGCAGUGCUCGUAUGAUGUGAUAUGUCUGGUGCUGGGUGAUAUGGGGCUUGUUUAGGCUA
RNAcentral lists this ribosomal RNA (599 nucleotides) under uncultured Actinomyces sp. Its description in RNAcentral is "bacterial SSU rRNA". The stretch from base 1 to 498 matches the Rfam family "Bacterial small subunit ribosomal RNA", at positions 28 to 545 of the family's 1533-position model. The record is from RNAcentral. Lineage: Bacteria; Bacillati; Actinomycetota; Actinomycetes; Actinomycetales; Actinomycetaceae.